CAGGCUGCGAGAUCCGCUUGGCUGUGGCGAGUGUGCGCCCGGCCGCGCCCGCCACCGAAUGCCACUGCUGCGCCCGCUCACCGUCUUUUGCUUCCAGCCGUCAUCAUCCCACAUUACAGGUGGACAAGAUGUGUCUUGCAGCGUUGUUUGUGAGAGCAAAAGCCCACCUCAGUGUCCACCAGAAAGCGUCCACUGAGCCCGGAAGGAGACCAAUCCUCCCUGCAGACUAAAGAUACAUUUCAUUUGAAGUAUUCUGGAUGGAUGAAAACACUGAAUUGGUUCGGAAGAUCAAAGGGUGAUUAUGUUACAAGAUUAUUAUUCAAAUGAUGAAGUCCCCCUGAUCCUACAACGUACUAUUUGAUUUAUGGAAAUACAAUCUCUGUUCAGCUUUUUAGGAAGACAUUUGUUGCAUAAAACAAGACCACAUUUCACCACUUCAGAGCCCAUGGUGAUGCUAUUCUUCAUUGUAAGAUUACCAUCCUUCUGACCGCACAGUAGGCUUUUGAAUAUUUGCAUGGUUGAUUUAAACCCUGGAAUAAAUCUUCUGCUAAAUCUCAAGUUGGGGGCACCAGUUCUGCAGUUCUCUCUUUAUAGUUGUUAACAUGAAUUUUGAUGGCAUGGAAAAGCUUGUUCUCGAAUUAUAUUUAGCUCAUACAAACGCUACUGCACAAUUAUGUUGUAAGGAGGAAUUAGAUUUUAUCUUUAGGUUGUUAUUAUAGCCUUGUGAAAAGGUGAACAUUGAGAAUAACUAUAAAGUAGUAGCAUAUUGUAUUAUUCAUUAUGCUACUCUUUCUUUAAAAAAAAAACUGGGGUGCAGGGCCUGGAACAGACUGACACAUGUGGUAGGUGUAUCAGGUUGUGUAAAAGAAACAGAUGGUACUUUCAAAGUAGAUAAUAAGAGGAAGGAUUAAUUAAGGGGCUAUUUAUGAAGGUUUGGGUAGAGUGUAGGGAAUAGGGGUAAGGGGUGAGGAAUAGCUGGGGUCUUUACGAUUUCUAGAUCUGAAAGUUGAAGGGAGGGAGAAAUUCUAGAACCCAGAAAGAAAGCUGUGUGGAGAGGGUGCCUUGAUAGGGAGCAGUGACCUUUUAUCAAAAGACACAACCAACCUGAGGCGAUCUGGCAGGGAGGGAGCUGGGGGAAUAAAUACCUCACCUUCACUGUCCUUCUGCCCUGCAAUCUGCUGCUGCCACCUCCUGUGGGCUGUACCCAAAUGGAAGCUAGAGGACCAAGUCCAUGUGGUCCAUAUAGGUGAGCUCCCCAGGCCAGAGAGUGGGUCUGGAAGGACAAAAGGAAAAUAUCUGGUACAGGAGUUUUCUCCUGUGGCGCGGUGGGUUAAGGAUCCGACAUUGCCACCAUAGUGGCUCGGGUUGCUGCUGUGGUGGGGGAUUUGAUCCCUGGCCCGGAAGCUUCUGCAUGCCUUGGGUGAGUCCAAAAAUAAAAUAAAAAAUCUAGUACAGUGGGCUUCAUGUCCACAUUGGCUGAAAACUUGACAUUUAAA
Sus scrofa (pig) is the source of this 1496-nucleotide non-coding RNA. The record is from RefSeq and is a predicted model, not a curated record. NCBI's taxonomy places the organism in Eukaryota, Metazoa, Chordata, Mammalia, Artiodactyla, Suidae.